Molecule: ribosomal RNA, 390 nt
Filed under: uncultured bacterium
Lineage: Bacteria
Description: bacterial SSU rRNA
Rfam family: Bacterial small subunit ribosomal RNA
Source: RNAcentral
AAUCAACGCUGGCGGCGUGCCUAAUACAUGCAAGUCGAACGCGAAAGUCCCGCAAGGGCAAGUAGAGUGGCAAACGGGUGAGUAACGCGUGGGCGACCUACCUUCGAGUGGGGGAUAACCUUCCGAAAGGAGGGCUAAUACCGCAUGACAUCCCGUGUUUGGAUACACGGACAUCAAAGUCGGGGAUCGCAAGACCUGACGCUUGGAGAGGGGCCCGCGUCCGAUUAGCUAGUUGGUGGGGAACGGCCCACCAAGGCUUCGAUCGGUAUCCGGCCUGAGAGGGCGGACGGACACACUGGGACUGAGACACGGCCCAGACUCCUACGGGAGGCAGCAGUAGGGAAUUGUUCGCAAUGGGCGCAAGCCUGACGACGCAACGCCGCGUGGAGA